UGAUGGAGCACGCCGCGUGAGUGAAGAAGGGUUUCGGCUCGUAAAACUCUGUUGUUAAAGAAGAACAUAUCUGAGAGUAACUGUUCAGGUAUUGACGGUAUUUAACCAGAAAGCCACGGCUAACUACGUGCCAGCAGCCGCGGUAAUACGUAGGUGGCAAGCGUUGUCCGGAUUUAUUGGGCGUAAAGCGAGCGCAGGCGGUUUUUUAAGUCUGAUGUGAAAGCCUUCGGCCUAACCGAAGAAGUGCAUCGGAAACUGGGAAACUUGAGUGCAGAAGAGGACAGUGGAACUCCAUGUGUAGCGGUGAAAUGCGUAGAUAUAUGGAAGAACACCAGUGGCGAAGGCGGCUGUCUGGUCUGUAACUGACGCUGAGGCUCGAAAGUAUGGGUAGCAAACAGGAUUAGAUACCCUGGUAGUCCAUACCGUAAACGAUGCAUGCUAAGUGUUGGAGGGUUUCCGCCCUUCAGUGCUGCAGCUAACGCAUUAAGCAUUCCGCCUGGGGAGUACGGCCGCAAGGCUGAAACUCAAAGGAAUUGACGGGGGCCC
RNAcentral lists this ribosomal RNA (546 nucleotides) under Lactiplantibacillus plantarum. RNAcentral's name for it is "bacterial SSU rRNA". It matches the Rfam family "Bacterial small subunit ribosomal RNA", at positions 384 to 922 of the family's 1533-position model. Lineage: Bacteria; Bacillati; Bacillota; Bacilli; Lactobacillales; Lactobacillaceae. The record is from RNAcentral.